GUGAAGCAAUUCCCGGGAAAGAGCAGGCCCAUGGUAAGGGUCAGGUCGUCGGUUCAAAUCCGACCGUCAGCUCCA
This 75-nucleotide transfer RNA is filed under the name Bacteroidetes bacterium RIFCSPHIGHO2_02_FULL_44_7. RNAcentral's name for it is "tRNA-Thr". Lineage: Bacteria; Pseudomonadati; Bacteroidota. The record is from RNAcentral.